This 301-nucleotide ribosomal RNA is filed under the name uncultured bacterium. RNAcentral describes it as "partial 16S ribosomal RNA". It matches the Rfam family "Bacterial small subunit ribosomal RNA", at positions 509 to 807 of the family's 1533-position model. The record is from RNAcentral.
CAGUAGCCACGGUAAUACGUAGGGUGCGAGCGUUGUCCGGAAUUAUUGGGCGUAAAGAGCUUGUAGGCGGUUUGUCGCGUCUGCUGUGAAAAUUCAGGGCUUAACCCUGGACGUGCAGUGGGUACGGGCAGACUAGAGUGUGGUAGGGGAGACUGGAAUUCCUGGUGUAGCGGUGGAAUGCGCAGAUAUCAGGAGGAACACCGAUGGCGAAGGCAGGUCUCUGGGCCAUUACUGACGCUGAGAAGCGAAAGCAUGGGGAGCGAACAGGAUUAGAUACCCCUGUAGUCCCUGUCUCUUAUAC